RNAcentral lists this ribosomal RNA (262 nucleotides) under uncultured bacterium. Its description in RNAcentral is "partial 16S ribosomal RNA". It matches the Rfam family "Bacterial small subunit ribosomal RNA", at positions 793 to 1055 of the family's 1533-position model. The record is from RNAcentral.
GUCCACGCCGUAAACGUUGGGCGCUAGGUGUGGGGUCCCUUCCACGGGUUCCGUGCCGCAGCUAACGCAUUAAGCGCCCCGCCUGGGGAGUACGGCCGCAAGGCUAAAACUCAAAGGAAUUGACGGGGGCCCGCACAAGCGGCGGAGCAUGCGGAUUAAUUCGAUGCGACGCGAAGAACCUUACCUGGGCUUGACAUGCGCGGAAAUCCGGCAGAGAUGUCGGGUCCGCAAGGGCCGCGCACAGGUGGUGCAUGGCUGUCGU